CCCAGCUUGGCCACCGCCUUGCUGGGCGGGCUCUGAGCUCCAGGCUUCUCGGCUGAGAAAGAGGAUAUUCAGCGGGGGCUGUUGGAGGACAGAACCGGGGGAUGGCCUAACGCCCCGGGCCUGGGGCUCUGCAGGGCUGUGUGUCUGCCUUGGUUACAGGAGGAAUCAACUUUGUCAAGAACACUCUUAGACUCCCUGCCCUGGCCUGUGCCCUAGACCUGCCCGCCUGGAGCCUGCACCCAUGGCUUCUUCUCUGUCCACUCACAGGAUGGGGUUAACAUGGGAAACAAAAUAGCCAAGGUUCCUGAGCCCGCCUUGCAGAACAGCAGGAGGACGCUGAUAGAGAGGAACUUGCUGACAGCCCCCUGCCUGCCUAAGCACCUUACAGGAACAUCGAGGAGCUGAAAUGACUGACUGUAAACUUCAGAGGUCAAAGACUAAAAUCCACUAUGCGUGACGCGUAGAAGAGAC
Molecule: long non-coding RNA, 471 nt
Filed under: Equus caballus (horse)
Lineage: Eukaryota; Metazoa; Chordata; Mammalia; Perissodactyla; Equidae
Description: lncRNA (ENSECAG00000058360.1)
Source: RNAcentral